UCUAUGACUGGAUGUGACACAUUCUAGUACAACGAAUCUGGACAAAUGUAUAUUCAGAUUCGUAGUAAUAGAAUGUGUCAUAUCCAGUAC
RNAcentral lists this unclassified non-coding RNA (90 nucleotides) under Oryza sativa (Asian cultivated rice). Its description in RNAcentral is "partial microRNA MIR468j-3 precursor". Lineage: Eukaryota; Viridiplantae; Streptophyta; Magnoliopsida; Poales; Poaceae. The record is from RNAcentral.